Molecule: long non-coding RNA, 1838 nt
Filed under: Sus scrofa (pig)
Lineage: Eukaryota; Metazoa; Chordata; Mammalia; Artiodactyla; Suidae
Source: RNAcentral
GUUCUGGGCAGACUCGGCGAUGCCGGAGGCUCUUUCUCCUGUCCUGCUCCAGCCUAAGCUUUCAGCAGGCCCCGUGUGACGUCAACAAAACGUGCCUUGCUUUCAUCAUGGCUGCAGUUUUCCCGGGAGAGCAUUUGGAUUCUGCCUUCUCGGAAGAAGAGCACCCACACAAGUGAAUUAAAAUAUAAGCUAAAUUCAGCCUUGUUCAAAUGUGCCUCCACAUCGUCUUUGCUCUGCUCCUCAUCCUCCACCCCACCCACACCCCCAGGAAGAAAGGAAGGCAAUACGAACUUAUUCAUGCUCAGAAGUAAAAUGAGCUUUGAAAUCCGUUUACUUCCUUGAUGUCUUUACUGACUGCUACUAAUACUGGUUGCACUGAAACCUGAACCCUGAUUAAAACUCUUCAGUACCCAACAGGGCCCUGCUCUACCCAAGAGUCUUUGAAAAAAGAAUCUGAAAAAGAAUGGAUGUGUGUACAUGUAUAACUGAAUCACUGUUGUACAACAGAAAUCAUCACGUUGUCAAUUAUACUUCAGUAAAACCUUAAAUGAAAAAAUAAAAACAAAAAACAACCCCCAAAACCCCUCUUCAAUAGCCAUGAAUUUAUGAUCUGAUGCAAACAUGGUUAUUUCUAUAUCCUAUAGAUUAGCUUUGCUAAAAUACUUCUCCAUGCUUUUUCUUCUGUUCCUUCUCUAGUUCCUUGCAACACACAUUCAAUGUAACCUGUAUCAUCUUCCUGCAAGAUGCAUUAUGCAGUUCGAAAAUCACAUGCCAUUUUUUAAAAAAUGAAAACAGCCGUUUCAGCUGAAAUCACCCAACACUUUUAUCCCAAGUUUCAUUUGAUGAUUCUAUAGAGUUAGAGUAACUGAGGAUCAAAUGUCUCUACCCUGCUUCCAAAGGCAACUCAUCACUGACUCUGUUUUGCCAAAGAAUUGAUUGUUCAGUAGGAAAAAAGGAAUAAAAUCUCAACAAGGUACAGUCCCAAUUAUGUACUCCUGGAUCACGUGACGACAUUAGCCAAGUCCUGGGAUCCUUUUGCUGCACUUCCUCCUAGAGCAGAGACUGUGAGUCCCUCCUUGGCUAUGCUAAGACCCAACAAAUGCUAAAUAUUGGUGGCAAUAAAUGCAGGUGGAAAAAGGCUCCAUGGAAGGCAGGCAUAACAGAGAACCUAUUUCAGCAUUUUACUCUCCACGUGUACUUCAAAUAAAACCUACGUGUGGGAGACAGAGUGAUGGCUCCCCAAAGAUGUCUGCACCCCCCAAAAAGAGACUUUGCAGACGUGCUUAAAGGAUCAUGAAAUUGAAGCACAGGAAGCAAGACCACGGGAUCUUGGCAUUAGGGAGGAAAAGAUGCUUUAAUCCAUAACUGAUUGCUCCUAUGCUGUCUCCAAAAAGAGAUUUGAUGCAAUGAUUUGUCUUUGAGAAGCAUUUCUGUCAUUCAAGCCCUCUCUUUAUUCUUUAGCAGCAUCCGUCUCCCAUGUCGGUCAUGGUCCAAACCCAAAGAUCGAUAGAUUCGAACACAGUCGACCUUUGUUAUAAGAACAGAGUUCAAGAGAUGGGCGGGCUAUGCCACAGUGGGCCCAAAAGGUGUUAGUCGUGAGCAUUGAUGUUUAAGACCUAAAGAUUGCUCUGCCUGCCAAGUGCCAGUCUCUAAAUGAUGCACCCAGGUGUUCUUGAGCAAAUCCAUUGUGUGUCCUUGUGAUGUGCAGAACCCUUGGAAGCAGAGACUCAAGCAGAUCUAAGGGUGGUGCUGUUUGACUUUUAGGGAGAAAUGUAAAAAAAGACCAGAUGUGCCUAAAAAUACACAUGGCUGCGUCUAUCUGUGUUUCCUCAUAUCCC